Molecule: unclassified non-coding RNA, 317 nt
Filed under: Hevea brasiliensis (rubber tree)
Lineage: Eukaryota; Viridiplantae; Streptophyta; Magnoliopsida; Malpighiales; Euphorbiaceae
Source: RNAcentral
ACUGCAUAUGAUGGGUCGUGAUGAUAUUCCAGUUGGUCUUGGAGAUGUAUUUGCAAUCAACCAAUCUGAUUCAAUUUUCUCUGCUGUUGGAGACUGCAAGUAUGUUAAGGCCAUCCCACAUGGAAGUGGUGGAUUUUUGGAUUCAGACACCCUAUAUGGGCUUGCUCGAAAUCUGCCACGAAGCCCCAGAAGGUAUACUGCAGAAAACUCUGCAAAAUUUGGAGCUCCUCGCGACACAGAUCACCCUGAACUUAGACAGCCUCUAGCACUCGAAAUUUGGGAUUCCGUAGUGCAAAAAUUGGAACCAGGAUCUAAGA